CCUACGGGAGGCUGCAGUGGGGAAUAUUGCACAAUGGGCGCAAGCCUGAUGCAGCCAUGCCGCGUGUGUGAAGAAGGCCUUCGGGUUGUAAAGCACUUUCAGCGGGGAGGAAGGCGGUGAGGUUAAUAACCUCAUCGAUUGACGUUACCCGCAGAAGAAGCACCGGCUAACUCCGUGCCAGCAGCCGCGGUAAUACGGAGGGUGCAAGCGUUAAUCGGAAUUACUGGGCGUAAAGCGCACGCAGGCGGUCUGCCAAGUCGGGUGUGAAAUCCCCGGGCUCAACCUGGGAACUGCAUUCGAAACUGGCAGGCUAGAGUCUUGUAGAGGGGGGUAGAAUUCCAGGUGUAGCGGUGAAAUGCGUAGAGAUCUGGAGGAAUACCGGUGGCGAAGGCGGCCCCCUGGACAAAGACUGACGCUCAGGUGCGAAAGCGUGGGGAGCAAACAGGAUUAGAUACCCGAGUAGUC
RNAcentral lists this ribosomal RNA (465 nucleotides) under uncultured Klebsiella sp. RNAcentral's name for it is "bacterial SSU rRNA". It matches the Rfam family "Bacterial small subunit ribosomal RNA", at positions 338 to 795 of the family's 1533-position model. Lineage: Bacteria; Pseudomonadati; Pseudomonadota; Gammaproteobacteria; Enterobacterales; Enterobacteriaceae. The record is from RNAcentral.